Lactuca sativa (garden lettuce) is the source of this 544-nucleotide long non-coding RNA. RefSeq lists it as uncharacterized. Lineage: Eukaryota; Viridiplantae; Streptophyta; Magnoliopsida; Asterales; Asteraceae. The record is from RefSeq and is a predicted model, not a curated record.
UUAGGAAAUCAAAGGGAGAUUUAAGGUGGAUACUUAUGGUUGGAGCUCUCUAUCGCCUCAACCCUGAAAGGAAAUCGAUCAUGGUGGUUCAUGGCUGCUCUUUCAUGAAUGCUUGUAGGUGCACCAAUGUUGUUGUAGUGUGCAUUCUAAGGUUAGCAUGAAGGUGGAGCCAUGGUUUGAUCAUCUUUUUGGGAUUGGGGUGAAGGGAGCUCCUCCCAUGAUCAAUGUCUUUCAACUAUUUGUUGACAUAUAUGUUAUCUUUUUAGUUGUGAUCAUAAUUUAAACAUUCAUCUCUUUAUUAGGCUAUGUAUUUUCUAUUUACUGAUGAGAUAUUUGAUUUCAUGGAAUCCUGGGUUCGAUGAGAUCGAUUAUGAUGAUUUAUUGCAGAGAGAUGAAUCCAGUUCACAAUCGGUACAUGAAGGACGACAAAGAUAUAUGCAUAUGCAACUUCCAUUGUAGCCUCUUCAAUGGCAAAUGUAACGUUGAAUUGUUACUAAUGUGGAGUCUAUUAACAUUAAUUAAAACAUCUAAAUAUGAAAUUGAA